RNAcentral lists this ribosomal RNA (506 nucleotides) under uncultured bacterium. RNAcentral describes it as "partial 16S ribosomal RNA". It matches the Rfam family "Bacterial small subunit ribosomal RNA", at positions 29 to 523 of the family's 1533-position model. The record is from RNAcentral.
AUUGAACGCUGGCGGCAGGCCUAACACAUGCAAGUCGGACGGUAGCACAGAGGAGCUUGCUCCUCGGGUGACGAGUGGCGGACGGGUGAGUAAUGUCUGGGGAUCUGCCCGAUAGAGGGGGAUAACCACUGGAAACGGUGGCUAAUACCGCAUAACGUCGCAAGACCAAAGAGGGGGACCUUCGGGCCUCUCACUAUCGGAUGAACCCAGAUGGGAUUAGCUAGUAGGCGGGGUAACGGCCCACCUAGGCGACGAUCCCUAGCUGGUCUGAGAGGAUGACCAGCCACACGGGAACUGAGACACGGUCCAGACUCCUACGGGAGGCAGCAGUGGGGAAUAUUGCACAAUGGGCGCAAGCCUGAUGCCGCCAUGCCGCGUGUAAGAAGAAGGCCUUCGGGUUGUAAAGUACUUUCAGCGGGGAGGAAGGCGAUGUGGUUAAUAACCGCAUUGAUUGACGUUACCCGCAGAAGAAGCACCGGCUAACUCCGUGCCAGCAGCCGCCGUAA